GUGGAUAGGGGGGUGCACCCUCUGCUGUUUCCUGAAGUCCACGAUCAUCUCCUUUGUUUUGUUGAUGAAACAAGGUCACAGAGGUGCUUCCCAUCAAGUAUACUAGCUCAGAGCGGGAGGAAGUGGGGAAGAAGCGCUACGAAGCUCAGAAAAUGGAGAGACUACAGACGAGGGAGAGAAACGGAGAGCUGCUGACGCCUAUGUCUGCCCCAGACAGAACAACAAAAGGUAUGUCUGUAUGGAUUUUCAAAAGGUUGCAUGCAUGUCAGCACAGAGAAAUUGGGAUGGAUGGAUGGAAUUUUUUCAUCCUUGAACACUUCGCAAAGUAUUCCUGGUUAUGCCCUGAUUAUUUUAGUAACACCGAGGCCAUUUAACUGUCUCAAUACUAAUAUUUCAGCCUAGUUUUUUUCUGUGCGUGCAUUCGUGUGUGUGCGUGUGUGGCAGAGCCCUACGCGGUUGGCUUUAGCCAGUCCAGUCUGAUGUCUGAUCCGUCUGGUGGGACCUUCAGAGACUGCACGCUGCACGGCUUUGUACAUGGAGCCUUCAUUUCUCAGAACAAGAAUAGACUGACGAGUUUCAG
Long non-coding RNA from Coregonus clupeaformis (lake whitefish), 580 nucleotides. RefSeq lists it as uncharacterized. The transcript has 4 exons. NCBI's taxonomy places the organism in Eukaryota, Metazoa, Chordata, Actinopteri, Salmoniformes, Salmonidae. The record is from RefSeq and is a predicted model, not a curated record.